UACGUAGGGUGCAAGCGUUGCCCGGAUUUAUUGGGCGUAAAGGGCGCGUAGGCGGCUCUGCACGUUCGUUGUGAAAUCGCCCGGCUCAACUGGGCGGGGUCAGCGGAUACGGCAGAGCUUGAGCAAGCUAGGGGGCAAUGGAAUUCCCGGUGUAGUGGUGGAAUGCGCAGAUAUCGGGAGGAACACCCGUGGCGAAGGCGGCACUCUGGGACGGUACUGACGCUGAGACGCGAAAGCGUGGGGAGCAAACAGG
This 253-nucleotide ribosomal RNA is filed under the name uncultured bacterium. RNAcentral's name for it is "partial 16S ribosomal RNA". It matches the Rfam family "Bacterial small subunit ribosomal RNA", at positions 524 to 776 of the family's 1533-position model. The record is from RNAcentral.